Long non-coding RNA from Passer domesticus (house sparrow), 6308 nucleotides. RefSeq lists it as uncharacterized. The record is from RefSeq and is a predicted model, not a curated record. The transcript is spliced from 6 exons. Lineage: Eukaryota; Metazoa; Chordata; Aves; Passeriformes; Passeridae.
CAGGCCACAGCCGCCGCUCGGCGUUGUCUGGGGACGCCGAACACCUUCAGCCCCUGACAGGCCUUGAGUACCGAACUUCAUAGGGUUCCUGGAAACCACCCAGACCACUGUCUUCACAGCAUUAUUUUCCCAUUGUCAAUAUUUGGUCACUUUAUUUUACCCGUUUCCAAAAGUAUUGCUGCAUAGAAGAAGUAAUGAUUUUUGUUCGCCAUUGCCGUGUUCUCUGAGGCCUCUGACAUCAGGCACCUUUCUCAUUUACAUAAUGAUUGCAGGUUCUUUCCUAGUUGUUAUGGUUGAUACAUUUGUCACAUGUAAAGUUCAUCCCUUAUCAGAUUUUAAACCCGAUCCCGAAGUGCUGUUACCUCUGUAACUUCGUGAAUGUCUUGGAAAUACAUUGAAAUGCCAGGUACUAUGAGAGUUUCCCAGUUCAUUUAGAAGUUGCCAAUCUAGAGAAAUAAAAAUCCUUCUUGCAGGGUAUCACCCAAAGCUGGAUUUAUCACCAACUGUGAUUGAGAAAUCUAAUAAUUUAUCGUUUAAAUACUGAAUCAGAACCAUAGCAAGUUUUAAAAACCUAAACAAACUAUACUUUCAAAAAAUUUACUUGAGUUUGUGAUCCUUCUCCUUAUGGAUUCUAGCUUCUUAGAAGCUGCUGAUAUCUUUCUCCAGGUUAAUUGUUCUCCAAACUUUGGCAGGCAAACCUUGGAAAUUUCUCAACUUUGUAGAUAUCCUGGGUUUUACUGUUUAGGAUUAUCACAACUAUUUCAAGCAGGUUCCCCAAAAAAUGCUUAUUCCAUCCUUUGUAUUCCUGUUCAUCAGUAUCUCAUUUUCUGUGGUUAGUCCUGGGAAAUCAUCUGGACAUGCAGAGGCUUAAAUAAUUUUAAAUGAUUUCUCCAUUCUCAGGCUAUCUGCAUAGAUUCCUAUCAGUGGAUAGGACUUAGACUUAGAAUGCAAAAUCUCUGGUUUAGCACAGCACACCACAACCUUAAAGGUGGAAUGGCAAAAUGUGGUGUUGUAGAGCAGUUCACAUGUAUGUUCAACACCACAGAAAACAAAAAGCAAAACACCUGUAGAUGAUGAAGGUGCUUGGUUUGGGAUCUUCCUCUCCUGUUAAUGAAAGGACAUGUCUGCACGGGGUGUUACACACCCCCUGUGUCCCCUGUGCCCCAGCUAACCCCCCUGCAGCCAGCCUGGCUUGUUCAUGGACCUGACUGCAGCACCAGCUCACAGCCCAUUCCGAAGAGGAAUUCAGCCGUGCUUUCACUACAGGUCACUCUGUCUGUGCCCUGCACACACUAAGCCUGGUGUUGGCUUCUCCCAGCAAAAGACAGAGGAGACAGAAUGGGCACAAACAUUUCUGUAUCUAUGCCUGAAGGGCCAGAGGCCACCCCUGUCCUUGAGCAGUCUUUUCCAUCUUGAUAAGCAAACUUAUGGGUUUUUUAGACUGCUGUUUGUGGUGUUCCAGUAUGGGGAACAGCGAUGAGUUCUAAUGGAUGGUCAGGAAUGAAAUUAAGCCAAACAAGCUGGCUGCUUGCCCUGCCUGCAAGAAUUGGUUCUUUUCCCGAGUCUGGGCUGGGCCUAAUUGAACAUGAAUAGAUUCCCUGGCCCCAAACAGGAUCACUGAACUUGAAGAAGACAAAAGCUGAUGGACAAGGACAACAGAAUCAACUUUUCUUCACAACCAGCUAUUCCUCACUGUCACUCAGUGUGUUACCAGUAAAUUAAAUGUUCACAAGGAAAGUUUUUUUAUAAAAGAGUAAUAAACAGAAGACAGCAUUCACUAUUUUAAACCUCAAGACCACAUCUCUUGAGAGACAAUGCUUUGUAAAAACAGUCAGAGGAGAAGAGAGAAGCAGAUAUAAAACUUUAAUGGCCUGGUAUGUUAAAAAUGAAGAAAGCAAACAGCAGGAAGCUUAGCCUAGCAGGAUCCAUUUUAUAUGUUACAUUUUUCACAAGCCAGUUUCAUUACAAAAAUUAGGAAUGGUAAUUGCUACAUAUAAAUGUAAAGUGUCUCUCUCGGCCCAGCACAGGGGAUAAAAACCCCCAACCAAAUCCCAAACUAUAAUGCCACUCUCUGUUCUCAGGAUUCUUAAGUAUGCAAAUAGUUUUUCCACUUAAGAUCUCCCAGACACAGAUCUGGUCAAAGCAAAUUACCCAAACAGUUUGCAUUCAUCAGAGAGGAAAAGAGAUGAUAAGGCAGAUAAAACCAAUGAUUGUAGACAUUUUGAUCAAAAGCCUGCCAUUUUACAGGGGAGAUUAUCUUGUACUCUAAUUCUCUAGUUAUAUUAGUAGCAGAAUCUUAUUUUCAUAUUAUAAGAUAAUGUGAGGUGAAAUGGUAGAUAAAACCUGCCUUCACUGAAGUGAAUGACAAGAUUUUAAUUGACACAAACUGAGUACUUUUGUUCCAGGGGCUUUAUGCCAUGUGCAAUUUCUUCAGUGUUUUUUUGUGCAAAUAUUAGCCUUUCUAACCGAGUUCUUUAGCAUUCAGUAUUAUUUGUGCAGCCUGUGUUUCGCCUGCUACCAUGGAAUUAUUCAUCUCAAAAAAAAAAAUCAUCUAGCAAAUCAGCUGUAAUUCAACUUUCUCAUAUUAAUUUUGUGAAUAAAAUGUUCUUUUUCUUUUAUAUUUUAGGUAAGAUGGCCAUAAUGCAUGGAAUUAUGAUGCGGAAUGUUACUCCAUGAAAUGUUAUGUAUGACUUAUCUUCUAACAAAAUACAAAGGACCAGUUCUUCUGUACCUCUUGAGCACCCAUGCUCUGCACAGCAGGAUGUUGAGCAUGCACCUCUUCUCAGCAGAAUACAAGGAGUAAGAAUGAUGGUGCCAUGAAGCUCUGGUUCACGUGUUAAACCACCAUCCACCAUGCAGUGACCAGUUUUAGUGCCAUCCCAAAACAGACAUAAUGGCACAGUUGUCAGUUAUCUGGGUGAGUCUAAAAAAAUUUUAUAACAUGUCUUAGGUGAGAACAAAUACUCAUAUUAGGAACAACAGUACAAAUACUUGAUGAAAUUAUAAAUAAUGCUGUUUUUUACAAAAGUAAGGAAGAUUAAACAGUAAGACCAUAAAAUAACAUUAUUAACACAACACACAGAAGCUGAAAAAUCAGGUAAAUUUAUUGUAAAUAGUGUUUGGGUUAUGCUUCAGGCUUCUGGAUUUAUACAAAUAUUAGUGACCCAUUUGAAGAAAACCCAAUAAAUUCCUUGUCCUCCCUGCAGGGGACAUAAGGAAUAAUGGAUUAUUAUCCUCUUCAUAACCAUUUGAGACAUACUGAAAGAGUUGUGUCCUGUUCCCUUUUGUAUUUCCCAUAAAUUGAUAUAGACACAUCAUUCUUUCCAUACAGUUUAGCAAAUAUUUAGCAAAUUCUUUAUAAAUUUUGUGGCUCCUCUCUCCAGAGACCUGCUUUAUUCUGGAAGUGCCAUGUCCAAAGCCGGACACAGCACUAAACAGGAAUAUCCAUCUCUCACAUCCAUAACCUCAAGCUCCCAUUAACACCUCUCAGAAUGAAGUCUGCCUCUUUUUCUGCAAGAAUUCCUCCAAAUCUUUUCUAGUUCUGAUGCUUUUUACAAUCUUUCCUUAAUGAUCACCACUGGGAUCACUUCUGAUGCAGUGGAUAAAGCUAGUCUGACUCUUACUUGUAAAUGGAUUUUUCUCAGAUCAAAGUCUUAGAUUAACCUUUACGAAAAAAUGAGAUAUUUGUAAUCUCUAGUUCAUGUUAGAACAAACUAAUUAUUCCAGACCAUAACGAGUGACUGGCAGUGUCAUUAGUAAAGACUGCCACCACUAGCAAAGCCCAUUUUAUGACAAAAAGCACUUUAUGACAAAAAGCAUAAAAACUGAACAUUAUCACAAAGUUCUUUUUACCUGGUUCUGAAAUAAAAACAUUAACAGGCAUCUAAGAGGUUUUAGUGGAAUCAGUUUUUAAUUGCUUACAGAUUUUUCAACAGCAGAUGAGAAUAUUAAACUCAUCAAAACAACAAAAUCUAUAAUUUGAAUAACACAAAAGAUCUAAUUUAACUUUACUUGUCUCCCCAGAGCAAGUGCUUACAUCACCAAAAUAGUUCUGGAUAUGUCCCCAUAAUUGCACAAAACACUUAAAGAAGCAGAAUCAGAAACAGUUUUAUUUUAAGUAAAAGAGUUGGAGGAAACACUUCCUUAACUGAAGCCAUAGGUCAGGGAAAAUCAGAGAAUCCCAGGACAAACAGAAAGCAGAUGCCAGGUCAAGGAAGGGCUCCCCUUGUCCAGGCUUGGGGUGGUCUGGUCAUGGCAAUGAUGAGCCAGGAGCCCAGAAAAUGAAUCACAGAACUGUUAGGGUUGGAAGGUACCUCUGGAGAUCACCUUGUGCAUUUGUGGACAUGGCUUCUUGUCCUGUCACUGAGCACCACUGAAAAGACUCUGACACCAUCCUACUGACAUCCAUCUUUGAAAUAUUUAUAUGCAUUGAUGAAAUUCCCUCUCAGGCUUUUCCUCCUUCUCCUCUCUAGACUGAUGAGACCUCACCUAUGCUGGCUAAGCUCCUGCCAGGCUGGUGACAAAGGCAGAGACCAAGUGCCAAGCUGGUACAGCCUCACUAUUGAUUUUAGAGGGUUGAAUGUCAGAAGGAAUAACCACUAGACAUCUAAAAUUGCUAGACUCACCAUUUCAGAUGGUAAGAAAUGCUUGCUAGGUUGCACAUUGUUUUCAGGGGCAGGAGAACCUGAUUCAGACUACCAAAAAGAAUUGUGAUUUUCUAGUUCAAUGGCUGAACUGAAACAUGGGGGGAAGUUUUUACAUUUUGUUUUUAAAAGCCUGCCUCUUCAAAUCUCUUUUUUAAACCCACUUCCAGGUUCAGCAUCUUGACUCUGAAAUCAAUUUUAAAAUGAGACAAUGAAUUAUUUACUUUCUAAAAUAUUGAAAGAAUUUCAACUUCUUUUGUCUUUUCUUUGUUCUAACUCAUCACCAAUUUGGGGCUAAUUUUGUAGAAAGUUUUGAUUCCUUUCAAGACUAUUCCAAUUGAAAAGCCAUACUUAUAUAUAUGUGUGUGUGUGUGUGUGUGUGUGUGUGUGUGUGUGUGUUUAUUCUAUUGUUUCCUCUUCUAGCAAUAAGACAAUGUCUAGUAAUAAGACAAUUUUUGAGACUUGCUGAACUGUUACAAUUAUGUGGUGAAGCCUGUGAUCUGAGGCAGGUAUUUCUUUGCUACAGCUGUUUAUUUACACAAAGAAUCUACAUUAAAUUCGUUUUCCCAGAAUCCAGCAGGAACAGACAAGAAACAGUUCAUCUGGGCAUGCUUCCAAGCCUGUCUUUUCAGACACCAAUCUGCUCAAAAAGAAGCUUGGUCUUGGCUUCUUCUAAGGGGAAAUGCUACUCCAAGUUCUCCUGCCUCUUCUGCUGCACCUCUUGUUUUUCUGCUUCCACAUCUGUGUUCCACCCACUGCCUGAGCUCUGCAUUACCAAACAAUGGUAAUUUCCACCAUCCCCCAAAAAUCAUCAUCUUAGUCUCUCUAUAUUUCUAGCUAUUUUCUGCUUUGGACACAGACUUCUCUUUUUUCCUUGUUCACUUUCAUAAAGGAGCUUGACUGCCUUCUUUUAUUCAGUUGAAAUUAAGUGAAACAGUGUGCCAAAUAGCUUGUCUAUGAUUGCCAAAAAUAAGCUUGCUGGAAGCCAUUCCUUUCGAUGCCAUAGACCUGUCCAUUGUUCAAGUGGAAUACAGAGCAGAGAUCUCUUGUGGAACAUGUCUCUGAUUCAUCCCCACUUAACUAACAGUGCUUAGCUGCUUCUUAUCCCAAAUAUGCUCUUAGCCAUGACACUGUGCCUUGAAUCAUAUUUCAUCUUCCAAUGAUGCCUUUGAAACCAAAAUAAGUCUGAAAACCCCAAUAUUUUUCAAGAUACAAAAUCCAGGAAAUUUUACCAUUGCUUGUAGAAGCUUUUAACAAGACAGCUGAGCAAUGGAAGACAUAUAAAUUAAGCUUUUUCUUCAACAAGCCUGAGGAAGAGAAAAGGACAAUCCACCACAGUAACUGGUGAUGUUGCUGUGAGGGGUUUUGAAAGGUCUUGUAGCAUGAGGAAGGCAAAGAGAUGCCUUGGCAGAGAAGAAAUAGCCCUAAGAAUGCUGAGCACCCCUCUGGGGUAGCAUGGAGAAGCCAAUAGCUUUCAAGGUAGUUGAGAUGCUGAAGCAACAACAAAAUAAUAAAAAGGAGCUUGUUUAAAAACAACCUAAAAUGGUGUUCUCUUGUCUUCUAUAUUUGUACCCAUGGUCAUAGACCCCAAAUUAUUUAUUUCUUAAGAGAUGAAGUAAAGUUACUUUUUUUAAACUGAAAUGUUGUGAUAAAGCAGGCACAUGC